RNAcentral lists this ribosomal RNA (497 nucleotides) under uncultured bacterium. RNAcentral's name for it is "partial 16S ribosomal RNA". It matches the Rfam family "Bacterial small subunit ribosomal RNA", at positions 28 to 507 of the family's 1533-position model. The record is from RNAcentral.
GAUGAACGCUGGCGGCGUGCCUAAUACAUGCAAGUCGAGCGAACAGACGAGGAGCUUGCUCCUCUGACGUUAGCGGCGGACGGGUGAGUAACACGUGGAUAACCUACCUAUAAGACUGGGAUAACUUCGGGAAACCGGAGCUAAUACCGGAUAAUAUAUUGAACCGCAUGGUUCAAUAGUGAAAGACGGUUUUGCUGUCACUUAUAGAUGGAUCCGCGCCGCAUUAGCUAGUUGUUAAGGUAACGGCUUACCAAGGCAACGAUGCGUAGCCGAACUGAGAGGGUGAUCGGCCACACUGGAACUGAGACACGGUCCAGACUCCUACGGGAGGCAGCAGUAGGGAAUCUUCCGCAAUGGGCGAAAGCCUGACGGAGCAACGCCGCGUGAGUGAUGAAGGUCUUCGGAUCGUAAAACUCUGUUAUUAGGGAAGAACAAAUGUGUAAGUAACUAUGCACGUCUUGACGGUACCUAAUCAGAAAGCCACGGCUAACUACGUG